GGAUGUGGGGACAAUCUGACCGAUCUCCUGGGUGGAUCCAGCUGAUCUGACUGACUAGGCAGGUGUCCCCACCCUUCCUCCCGCAUGCUUCAUGUGUCCUGCCAGAAGCUGCCUGCUGGAAAGAGGGAAAGCUUCCCUGGUCUUUAGUCAAGGGUAUAAGAGUAGCUGCGAGAAGCAAUGGGCAAGCUCUCAAAACAAAUAUUUUUAAUUCUGUUGUUUAAUUUUUAAAAUUAAAUGUUAAGU
This 243-nucleotide small nuclear RNA is filed under the name Rattus norvegicus (Norway rat). RNAcentral describes it as "7SK RNA". It matches the Rfam family "7SK RNA". From Rfam's summary of the family: 7SK was discovered as an abundant small nuclear RNA in the mid-70s but a possible function has only recently been suggested. The record is from Rfam by way of RNAcentral. Lineage: Eukaryota; Metazoa; Chordata; Mammalia; Rodentia; Muridae.